RNAcentral lists this ribosomal RNA (897 nucleotides) under Triticum aestivum (bread wheat). RNAcentral's name for it is "partial small subunit ribosomal RNA". Lineage: Eukaryota; Viridiplantae; Streptophyta; Magnoliopsida; Poales; Poaceae. The record is from RNAcentral.
CUCAAUUUUCGCAGGUAUGAUUAUUCUGGUUAUGGACGGUCAUCAGGCAAGGCAAGCGAAGCUAAUACAUUUGCUGACAUAGAGUCUGCAUAUAAAUGCCUUGUGGAGGUUUAUGGGACUAGGGAAGAAGACAUUGUUCUUUAUGGUCAAUCUGUCGGUAGUGGCCCCACUGUUGAUUUAGCUGCUCACUUGCAUCACAUAAGAGCAGUUGUUCUGCAUAGUCCCAUACUUUCUGGCCUACGUGUCAUGUAUUCUGUGAAGAAAACAUACUGGUUUGACAUAUAUAAGAACAUCGAGAAAAUUCCCCUUGUUAAAUGCCCUGUUCUGGUGAUUCAUGGUACAAGUGACGAUGUUGUUGAUUUUUCCCAUGGAAAGCGGAUAUGGGAGCUGGGCCAACAGAAGUAUGAGCCUCUGUGGAUCGAGGGAGGCGACCACUGUAACUUGGAGACCUUCCCAGUGUACAUAAGGCAUCUGAAGAAGUUUCUGUCAGCUGUAGAGAAGUUGCCUGCUGGAAAAGAAGCAGCACCUGAGAGUGAGAAGUUGCUAGCUGGAAAUGAAAAACCUUCAGAUAGCGCCGCUCUUUCUGAGGCGCAUUUGAUGACCUCGCAGAGGUUAGAGCCAUCGAGGAAGAGCUCAAGGCAUGAGCAGCCUCCUAGGCUGAGCACUGAAUGUGUAGAUAAACACCGUCGAAGUACAGACGUCAGGGAAAAGGCAAGGUCCAUCACACAUGAGAGAUCAAGGAGAAGUGUCGAUACAUUUGACAGGACAAGAGAUGAAAAUGAACGGACAGACAAACCAAGGAAAAGCAUUGACAGGCUUGGCGAGAUGAUUAGAUCAAUGGGCCUCUGCAAUGUUGAUUGCUUCAAAGAGCCUUCUCGAAAAACCGAGGCUUGCUGA